GCCUGUAUAGUUCAAUGGUAGAAUAACUCACUUGUAAUGAGUAGAUGCUGGUUCGACUCCGGCUAUGGGCU
RNAcentral lists this transfer RNA (71 nucleotides) under Gammaproteobacteria bacterium. RNAcentral's name for it is "tRNA-Thr". It matches the Rfam family "tRNA". From Rfam's summary of the family: Transfer RNA (tRNA) molecules are approximately 80 nucleotides in length. Their secondary structure includes four short double-helical elements and three loops (D, anti-codon, and T loops). RNAcentral also lists the same sequence under 1 other name. The record is from RNAcentral. Lineage: Bacteria; Pseudomonadati; Pseudomonadota; Gammaproteobacteria.